GGACACGCAUCCCGGAAGAGGUGCGCUGCGACAUGCUUGACGUGAGCAGUUUUGGGGUUUGGCUUUUCCAGUUUGAGUGUGGCGGCUGGCGGGUUCUCCCCUGCCAAAUCGCCUGUACCCCACCAGGCCGAUCUCACCCUGUUCACGUUCACAGCGGGAGGCCCCUGCGGUCUUGAGCGGUACCUGUUCUAUUAGACACGAGCUAGAAGUAUCUCAGAAAGACACAAGGUGGCGAUGUUACCCCAAGAAAGUGUAUGUGUUCAGUCUCUAAAGCCCCAGCUUCACCUGACAAGUCUUUGGUCCUCAGAACAAGGGUUAUUUCUGAGGACGAACAGAGAAAACUUGUGUGAAGUUCCUGGCACAGAAGGAGUUGAAUAAAUGAUUAAUUUUC
Hyaena hyaena (striped hyena) is the source of this 391-nucleotide long non-coding RNA. RefSeq lists it as uncharacterized. The record is from RefSeq and is a predicted model, not a curated record. The transcript has 3 exons. Lineage: Eukaryota; Metazoa; Chordata; Mammalia; Carnivora; Hyaenidae.